This 73-nucleotide transfer RNA is filed under the name Salmo salar (Atlantic salmon). It matches the Rfam family "tRNA". From Rfam's summary of the family: Transfer RNA (tRNA) molecules are approximately 80 nucleotides in length. The record is from Rfam by way of RNAcentral. Lineage: Eukaryota; Metazoa; Chordata; Actinopteri; Salmoniformes; Salmonidae.
UCCUGUGUGGCUCAGUUGGUAGAGCGUGGUGCUUGAAACGCCAGGGUUGUGGGUUUGAUUCCCACGGGGGGAC